AUGCCUUGGCUGAUGGCUGCGAUGAAGGACGUGGUAAGCUGCGAAAAGUCUCGGGGAGUUGCACGCGAACGGUGAUCCGGGAAUGUCCGAAUGGGGGAACCCUUCCAGGUGAAAGCCUGGAAAUCUCUUUGCUGAAUACAUAGGCAGGGAGAAGCGAACCUGGGGAAGUGAACCAUCUCAGUACCCAGAGGAACAGAAAACAAUAGUGAUUCCGGAAGUAGCGGCGAGCGAAACCGGAAGAGCCCAAACCUUUUACGUGUAAGCGGCAGGCGUUGCGUAGAGGGGGUCGUGGGAGUCACAGGCUGAAGCUGCCCUUCAGCACAGAGUUACAAAGUUGGCGUUUAGCGGAACGGUUUGGAAAAGCCGGCGAGACAGGGUGAUAGCCCCGUAUGCGAAAAGCGACCAAUCUCUGAGUGGAGUUCCCAAGUAUGUCGGGACACGAGAAAUCCUGACAGAAUUUGCCGCGACCAUGCGGUAAGGCUAAAUAGGUCCAUCAGACCGAUAGUGAACCAGUACCGUGAGGGAAAGGCGAAAAGAACCCCGAUGAGGGGAGUGAAAUAGAACCUGAAACCGUCAAUCUACAAGCAGUGGAACCACUAUUGUUUACAAGUGGAACCGCGUGCCUUUUGCAUAAUGAGCCGGCUAGUUAUUUUCAGUGGCGAGGCGAAGCCGAUGAGGCGAAGCCGAAGGGAAACCGAGUCUGAAUAGGGCGAAUAGUCGCUGGGAAUAGACGCGAAACGGGAUGAUCUAUCCUUGAGCAGGAUGAAGUCCGGGUGACACCGGAUGGAGGUCCGAACCAGUAGGGGUUGAAAACCGUUUGGAUGACUUGAGGAUGGGGGUGAAAGGCCAAUCAAAUUCCGUGAUAGCUCGUUCUCCCCGAAAUAGCUUUAGGGCUAGCGUCGGAUGUUUCGUCGUGCAGGUAGAGACCUGAAUGGACUAGGGGGCACACCCGCUUACCGAAUCCAACCAAUCUUCGAAUGGCACGCCGUGAAGUCCGGCAGUCAGACUGCGGGUGAUAAGAUCCGUAGUCGAGAGGGAAAGAACCCAGAUCGCCAGCUAAGGUCCCAAAAUACAUGCUAAGUGGAAAAGGAUGUGGAUGUGCUUAGACAGCCAGGAGGUUAGCUUAGAAGCAGCUAUCCUUUAAAGAAAGCGUAAUAGCUCACUGGUCAAGCGGGUCUGUGCCGACAAUUCAACGGGGCUCAAGCAUAUUACCGAAGCUGCGAACGAGAGUGGUAGGGGAGCAUUCCCUACGUCUGUGAAGGUUGACCGUAAGGACAGCUGGAGACAUGGGAAGAGACUCUGUCGGCAUAAGUAGCGUAAAGACAGGCGAGAACCCUGUCCGCCGUAAGACUAAGGUUUCCAACGCAAGGUCAAUCCGCGUUGGGUUAGUCGGGCCCUAAGCCGAGGCCGAGAGGCGUAGGCGAUGGAAAGCUGGUUAAUAGUCCAGCACCAUGAAUACUUCGUUUGUACGAUGCAGGGACGCAGGAAGGUAGUCGAGCAGCUCUAUGGAAUGUGCUGUGAAACCUGUCAAGGGUGGCGCUUAGGGAAGUCCGGGCGCCGUAAGCUCAAGACUUGUGACGAAAGGCGAUGAUCCUACACUGCCGAGAAAAGCUGCUAAGGAGAGGUAUUUGUGUCCGUACCGCAAACCGACACAGGUAGUCGAGGAGAGAAUCCUCAGGCGUUUGAGAGAACUCUGCUGAAGGAACUCGGCAAAUUAACCCCGUAACUUCGGGAGAAGGGGUGCCUGGGCAACCAGGCCGCAGUGAAAAGGCCCAAGCGACUGUUUAACAAAAACACAGGUCUCUGCUAAGUCGUAAGACGACGUAUAGGGGCUGACGCCUGCCCGGUGCUGGAAGGUUAAAGGGAGAGGUUAGCCGCAAGGCGAAGCUUUGAACUGAAGCCCCAGUGAACGGCGGCCGUAACUAUAACGGUCCUAAGGUAGCGAAAUUCCUUGUCGGGUAAGUUCCGACCUGCACGAAUGGCGUAACGAUGGCCACACUGUCUCCUCCCGAGACUCAGCGAAGUUGAAAUGUUUGUGAUGAUACAAUCUACCCGCGGCUAGACGGAAAGACCCCAUGAACCUUUACUGUAGCUUUGCAUUGGACUUUGAACAGAUUUGUGUAGGAUAGGUGGGAGGCAUUGAAGCCGGGACGCUAGUUCUGGUGGAGCCGACGUUGAAAUACCACCCUGAUGUGUUUGAGGUUCUAACCCAGGUCCGUAAUCCGGAUCGGGGACCGUGCAUGGUAGGCAGUUUGACUGGGGCGGUCUCCUCCCAAAGUGUAACGGAGGAGUGCGAAGGUAUCCUAGGUACGGUCGGAAAUCGUACUGAUAGUGCAAUGGCAAAAGAAGGCUUGACUGCGAGACUGACACGUCGAGCAGGUGCGAAAGCAGGUCAUAGUGAUCCGGUGGUUCUGUAUGGAAGGGCCAUCGCUCAACGGAUAAAAGGUACUCUGGGGAUAACAGGCUGAUUCCUCCCAAGAGUUC
This 2484-nucleotide ribosomal RNA is filed under the name groundwater metagenome. RNAcentral describes it as "bacterial LSU rRNA". It matches the Rfam family "Bacterial large subunit ribosomal RNA", at positions 28 to 2501 of the family's 2925-position model. The record is from RNAcentral.